UACGUAGGGUGCAAGCGUUGUCCGGAAUUAUUGGGCGUAAAGAGCUCGUAGGCGGUCUGUCGCGUCGGAUGUGAAAAUCCAGGGCUCAACCCUGGACCUGCAUUCGAUACGGGCAGACUAGAGUUCGGUAGGGGAGACUGGAAUUCCUGGUGUAGCGGUGAAAUGCGCAGAUAUCAGGAGGAACACCGGUGGCGAAGGCGGGUCCCUGGGCCGAAACUGACGCUGAGGAGCGAAAGCGUGGGGAGCAAACAGG
Molecule: ribosomal RNA, 253 nt
Filed under: uncultured bacterium
Lineage: Bacteria
Description: partial 16S ribosomal RNA
Rfam family: Bacterial small subunit ribosomal RNA
Source: RNAcentral